ACAGACUCUGUUUGAAGAUGUAUGGCUGUUUCCUACUGGGUUCAUGUUGGCGAUAGAGUGUUUUUUCGUGGCCACAAUGGCCAGUUACACCGAGAGCUGCAAGGCGGCGAUCGACGCUAGGGAGGAGGUGGAGAUGGAGAAGCCAAGAGAGAAGACUGAUGCCAGAUCCUCCGCCAGCGCCCUCGCAGCUGGCACGAGCAACUGAUGACGCUGUACAUGCAUGUUAGAGCCAGUGGAGACGCCGCUGCUUCGACAGACAGCUCCUUCAUAUUUAUUUGUGCUGGCAGUGGCGCAAGAAAGCUUGCAGAGCACGACGGACGUGCGAGCAAUUAAAGCGUGAAUUCUUUCAACCUUGAAA
This 358-nucleotide long non-coding RNA is filed under the name Dermacentor andersoni. Its description in RNAcentral is "uncharacterized LOC126517125". Lineage: Eukaryota; Metazoa; Arthropoda; Arachnida; Ixodida; Ixodidae. The record is from RNAcentral.